GAUGAACGCUGGCGGCGUGCCUAAUACAUGCAAGUCGAGCGAACAGACGAGGAGCUUGCUCCUCUGACGUUAGCGGCGGACGGGUGAGUAACACGUGGAUAACCUACCUAUAAGACUGGGAUAACUUCGGGAAACCGGAGCUAAUACCGGAUAAUAUAUUGAACCGCAUGGUUCAAUAGUGAAAGACGGUUUUGCUGUCACUUAUAGAUGGAUCCGCGCCGCAUUAGCUAGUUGGUAAGGUAACGGCUUACCAAGGCAACGAUGCGUAGCCGACCUGAGAGGGUGAUCGGCCACACGGGAACUGAGACACGGUCCAGACUCCUACGGGAGGCAGCAGUAGGGAAUCUUCCGCAGUGGGCGAAAGCCUGACGGAGCAAGGCCGCGUGAGUGAUGAAGGUCUUCGGAUCGUAAAACUCUGUUAUUAGGGAAGAACAAAUGUGUAAGUAACUAUGCACGUCUUGACGGUACCUAAUCAGAAAGCCACGGCUAACUACGUG
RNAcentral lists this ribosomal RNA (497 nucleotides) under uncultured bacterium. RNAcentral's name for it is "partial 16S ribosomal RNA". It matches the Rfam family "Bacterial small subunit ribosomal RNA", at positions 28 to 507 of the family's 1533-position model. The record is from RNAcentral.